RNAcentral lists this long non-coding RNA (240 nucleotides) under Sus scrofa (pig). RNAcentral's name for it is "lncRNA (ENSSSCG00025051223.1, ENSSSCG00055002291.1, ENSSSCG00070004244.1)". Lineage: Eukaryota; Metazoa; Chordata; Mammalia; Artiodactyla; Suidae. The record is from RNAcentral.
ACCUGUCAAUUAUCAAGAGUUUUCUUUGCUUCAGAGGAGCUCUUUUGAGGAGAGAGAUCAAGUCACGUGGAAAUUUUCUUCCCUCUCUAUAACUGUAAGCUGCCAGUAACCCUUCAGAGCUCUGGGUCUCAGUGAAUCAUCAAUUGAGAGUCUCUAUACAAGAAAAGAAACGACAUGAACUUUAUUGGACAUCAUAAAUAUGAGACUUGGAUGAUGCGAAGUGCAGAGUUGGAAUAAGAA